RNAcentral lists this long non-coding RNA (876 nucleotides) under Ananas comosus (pineapple). RNAcentral's name for it is "long non-coding RNA (ACOM_LNC030037)". The record is from RNAcentral. Lineage: Eukaryota; Viridiplantae; Streptophyta; Magnoliopsida; Poales; Bromeliaceae.
UAGCAAGUAUCCAUACCGGCCAUUAAAAAUUGUCAAAUUUGUGAACUUUUGAUCGUAAGGUAAAUGAUGUCGAAAAUUAUAAAUUUAAUUUUUAAAAGUUUUAAAUGCUGUAAAUAACGUUUAACGAUAUGGAUCGUCAAUUCGGAAGCUCUAUUAUCGAAAACGAUUUUAUGAGUACGAGAGCGAUCUACUCAUAAUAGAUAUAGUAGCCGGACCCUAUAUAUUAUAUAUAUUAUUAUAUAAUAUAUAUAUAUAUAUUAGAAGAGAGGGGAGAGCUGUGAGAAGGGAGAGCCCCGCGGUGAUGAGGGAGAGAGCGGAGAGCUCGGGCGAGAAUGCCGUGGCUAUUAUACUAUUAUGAGUAUUGGAGUUCUCGUACUCAUAAGUUGUUUUCAAUGAUGGAGCUUCCGAAUCGACGAUCCACUCCGUUAAUAUGAUCUAGAGUAUUUGAAACUUCUAGAAAGUAAAUUUCGCAAAUUUUCGAAAUCAUUAUAAAGUCCAUCAAGCCGGCAUAAAAUGAAUAGUCAAAAUCGAAUGACGUCCUAAAGAGGAUGAUCGAACCCUUCAAUUCAAGAUCAGAGUUAUUGAUUUUAUCUAGGUAGUGAAUAGAAUUUUCUAUCAAAAAUUCAACAAAUUUUGAUUCUUUUACACCGUUAAACUAGCAAGUAUCCAUACCGGCCAUUAAAAAUUGUCAAAUUUGUGAACUUGAUCGUAGGUAAAUGAUGUCGAAAAAUUAUAAAAUUUAAUUUUUAAAAGUUUUAAAUGCUGUAAAUAACGUUUAACGAUAUGGAUCGUCAAUCGGAAGCUCUAUUAUCGAAAACGAUUUAUGAGUACGAGAGCGAUCGUACUCAUAAUAGUAUAGUAGCCGGACCCUAUAUU